Molecule: ribosomal RNA, 321 nt
Filed under: uncultured Chloroflexota bacterium
Lineage: Bacteria; Bacillati; Chloroflexota
Description: bacterial SSU rRNA
Rfam family: Bacterial small subunit ribosomal RNA
Source: RNAcentral
GAUGAACGUUGGCGGUGUGCCUAAUACAUGCAAGUCGAACGGAGAUAAUAGCAAUAUUGUCUUAGUGGCGAACGGGUGAGUAACGCGUUGGUGACCUGCCCCGAAGUGUGGGAUAACAGUCCGAAAGGAUUGCUAAUACCGCAUGUGGUCCUCGGAUUUAGAAACCGAUGACUAAAGCCGCAAGGCGCUUUGGGAGGGACCUGCGUCCCAUCAGCUAGUUGGUGAGGUAACGGCCCACCAAGGCUACGACGGGUAGGGGACCUGAGAGGGUGGCCCCCCACAAUGGAACUGAAACACGGUCCAUACACCUACGGGAGGCAG